CAGUGUAAUAAAUCAUGUAGUAUUUUGUGCCAAAGUUCCUCUUACCCUACUUUGACUGUAUUCUUCUGUCUUUUGAUGUGCAGGAUGGAAUGUCAGUUUGGAAUAAGGAGAUAACAAAGUAUACGGGAAUUGGAGGAGGUGAUGGAUCCAAGGGCACGACAGCAUCCUAUUUCUGUACCUACUGAAAGAGGACAUAAGCAAGCCAACCCCAAAGUCCUUAGUGUUUGAAAGGAGAACACCAAAAGUUACACAGCUUGGAAAAAUUAUAUUGCCCAAGUGACGCUCAGGGGAGGCACCACCAAAUGUUGAAGGAAAUAGGAAGCCCACAGCAGAGCCUUCUGCUACAGACUAGUGGGGAUUUGGAGGGAAAGUCUGAAUAAUGCUUAGUCACAAGGUGAUGUCUCGGUCCUGCAGCAAAGAUGUUUGGCAAGUAAAGAGAGCUGCUGUGUGUGACACAUUUGGACAUCAGGCUCUGAGAAUAAAGAGGGACCCGCUAAUUGAUCUUCUGGAAGAAUAA
RNAcentral lists this long non-coding RNA (517 nucleotides) under Cyanistes caeruleus (blue tit). RNAcentral describes it as "lncRNA (ENSCCEG00000010412.1)". Lineage: Eukaryota; Metazoa; Chordata; Aves; Passeriformes; Paridae. The record is from RNAcentral.